GAGUUGAAGCUCAGGCCCUUCCUGGCACCCUGGUCUGCUGCACUGAGCUGCGUGAGCUCUUCCACCCAGGUGCAGCCCCCAGGCACUGAUCAGCAUAGAUGUUGAGGCUGGAGGAAGACUUGAAUUGGGCCCAAUGGCCCCAGGCCAGUGUCCGUCAGCUAGGUGUCCAGCCCCUGGUGCACUGAACAUUGAACACUUCCUGGCACCCUGGUGUCCUGCACUGAGCUGUGGUGAGCACAUCCGGGUCCUGCUGGAUGCAUGCACUGGGAGGUGGUGUGCUGAGUUGGGUCGAUGAUGAGAACCUUAUAUUGUCCUGAAGAGAGGUGAUGACUUAAAAAUCAUGCUCAAUAGGAUUACGCUGAGGCCCAGUCUAGUGAGCUCUUCCACCCAGGCAGGCACCCUGGCAUUGACCAGCAUAGUGAGCUCUUCUGCCCAGCAGACCCCCUGGCAUUGACCAGCAUCGAUGGUGACCCUGGAGGAAGAAUUGCAUUGGACCUGCUGGCCCUGACACAGUGUCCCUCAGCCGGGUGCUCAGC
Rhinopithecus roxellana (golden snub-nosed monkey) is the source of this 536-nucleotide long non-coding RNA. RefSeq lists it as uncharacterized. The record is from RefSeq and is a predicted model, not a curated record. The transcript is spliced from 6 exons. NCBI's taxonomy places the organism in Eukaryota, Metazoa, Chordata, Mammalia, Primates, Cercopithecidae.